RNAcentral lists this ribosomal RNA (468 nucleotides) under bacterium WB3T3. Its description in RNAcentral is "partial 16S ribosomal RNA". It matches the Rfam family "Bacterial small subunit ribosomal RNA", at positions 105 to 560 of the family's 1533-position model. The record is from RNAcentral.
GGUGAUUAACACGGGGGUACCCUACUUAUAAAACGGGAAAAAUUUCGGAAACCCGGACUUAAUACCGAAUAACUUUUGAAACCGCAGGUUUCAAAAGGAAAAAAUGGUUUUGCUAUCAUUUAUAAAGGGACCCGCCCCGUAUUACCUAUUUGGAAAGGAAACGGUUUACCAGGGCAACAAUCCGUACCCAACCGGAAAGGGUGAUCGGCCACCCGGAAACUGAAACCCGGCCCAAACUCCUACGGGAGGCACCAGUAGGAAAUCUCCCGCAAGGGGCAAAACCCUGACGAACCACCCCCGCGGGAGUGAUGAAGGUUUUCGGUUCGAAAAACUCUGUUAUAAGGAAAAAACAAAUGUGUAAUUAAUUGUGCACUUUUUGACGGAACCUAAUCAAAAAGCCCGGGUUAACUACUUGCCACCACCCGGGGUAAAACGUAGGUGGCAAGCUUUAUCCGAAUUUAUUGGGCU